RNAcentral lists this ribosomal RNA (702 nucleotides) under uncultured bacterium. Its description in RNAcentral is "bacterial SSU rRNA". It matches the Rfam family "Bacterial small subunit ribosomal RNA", at positions 9 to 694 of the family's 1533-position model. The record is from RNAcentral.
GAGUUUGAUCCUGGCUCACGACGAACGCUGGCGGCGUGCCUAAUACAUGCAAGUAGAACGCUGAAGACUUUAGCUUGCUAAAGUUGGAAGAGUUGCGAACGGGUGAGUAACGCGUAGGUAACCUGCCUACUAGCGGGGGAUAACUAUUGGAAACGAUAGCUAAUACCGCAUAACAGCAUUUAACCCAUGUUAGAUGCUUGAAAGGAGCAAUUGCUUCACUAGUAGAUGGACCUGCGUUGUAUUAGCUAGUUGGUGAGGUAACGGCUCACCAAGGCGACGAUACAUAGCCGACCUGAGAGGGUGAUCGGCCACACUGGGACUGAGACACGGCCCAGACUCCUACGAGAGGCAGCAGUAGGGAAUCUUCGGCAAUGGGGGCAACCCUGACCGAGCAACGCCGCGUGAGUGAAGAAGGUUUUCGGAUCGUAAAGCUCUGUUGUAAGAGAAGAACGUGUGUGAGAGUGGAAAGUUCACACAGUGACGGUAACUUACCAGAAAGGGACGGCUAACUACGUGCCAGCAGCCGCGGUAAUACGUAGGUCCCGAGCGUUGUCCGGAUUUAUUGGGCGUAAAGCGAGCGCAGGCGGUUUAAUAAGUCUGAAGUUAAAGGCAGUGGCUUAACCAUUGUUCGCUUUGGAAACUGUUAGACUUGAGUGCAGAAGGGGAGAGUGGAAUUCCAUGUGUAGCGGUGAAAUGCGUAGA